RNAcentral lists this ribosomal RNA (424 nucleotides) under uncultured Nitrosospira sp. RNAcentral describes it as "bacterial SSU rRNA". It matches the Rfam family "Bacterial small subunit ribosomal RNA", at positions 202 to 622 of the family's 1533-position model. The record is from RNAcentral. Lineage: Bacteria; Pseudomonadati; Pseudomonadota; Betaproteobacteria; Nitrosomonadales; Nitrosomonadaceae.
AAAGACCUUGCGCUUUUGGAGCGGCCGAUGUCUGAUUAGCUAGUUGGUGAGGUAAUGGCUUACCAAGGCAACGAUCAGUAGUUGGUCUGAGAGGACGGCCAACCACACUGGGACUGAGACACGGCCCAGACUCCUACGGGAGGCAGCAGUGGGGAAUUUUGGACAAUGGGGGAAACCCUGAUCCAGCCAUGCCGCGUGAGUGAAGAAGGCCUUCGGGUUGUAAAGCUCUUUCAGCCGGAACGAAACGGUCACGGCUAAUACCUGUGAUCACUGACGGUACCGGAAGAAGAAGCACCGGCUAACUACGUGCCAGCAGCCGCGGUAAUACGUAGGGUGCGAGCGUUAAUCGGAAUUACUGGGCGUAAAGCGUGCGCAGGCGGUUUUGUAAGUCAGAUGUGAAAUCCCCGGGCUUAACCUGGGAACU